This 73-nucleotide transfer RNA is filed under the name Candidatus Epulonipiscium sp. RNAcentral describes it as "tRNA-Thr". It matches the Rfam family "tRNA". Rfam says of the family: Transfer RNA (tRNA) molecules are approximately 80 nucleotides in length. Their secondary structure includes four short double-helical elements and three loops (D, anti-codon, and T loops). The record is from RNAcentral. Lineage: Bacteria; Bacillati; Bacillota; Clostridia; Lachnospirales; Lachnospiraceae.
GCUGGGAUAGCUCAGAUGGUAGAGCGAUGCACUCGUAAUGCAUAGGUCGAGGGUUCAAGUCCCUUUUCCAGCU